Molecule: non-coding RNA, 28 nt
Filed under: Rattus norvegicus (Norway rat)
Lineage: Eukaryota; Metazoa; Chordata; Mammalia; Rodentia; Muridae
Source: RNAcentral
UGUCGAGCUUUAAUAGAAGAAGAUACAC